GACGAACGCUGGCGGCGUGCUUAACACAUGCAAGUCGAACGAUGAAGCCCAGCUUGCUGGGUGGAUUAGUGGCGAACGGGUGAGUAACACGUGGGCAACCUGCCCCAAACUCUGGGAUAACUCCUCGAAAGAGGUGCUAAUACCGGAUACGAACUAGACAGACAUCUGUACCAGUUGGAAAGUUUUUCGGUUUGGGAUGGGCCCGCGGCCUAUCAGCUUGUUGGUGAGGUAACGGCUCACCAAGGCUACGACAGGUAACCGGGCUGAGAGGGCGACCGGUCACACUGGGACUGAGACACGGCCCAGACUCCUACGGGAGGCAGCAGUGGGGAAUAUUGCGCAAUGGGCGAAAGCCUGACGCAGCGACGCCGCGUGAGGGAUGAAGGUCUUCGGAUCGUAAACCUCUUUCAGUAGGGACGAAGCGAAAGUGACGGUACCUAAAGAAGAAGCACCGGCUAACUACGUGCCAGCCGCCGCGGUAA
Molecule: ribosomal RNA, 482 nt
Filed under: uncultured bacterium
Lineage: Bacteria
Description: partial 16S ribosomal RNA
Rfam family: Bacterial small subunit ribosomal RNA
Source: RNAcentral